GGGUUGUGAGGUUAAGUGACUAAGCGUACACGGUGGAUGCCUAGGCAGUCAGAGGCGAUGAAGGGCGUGCUAAUCUGCGAAAAGCGUCGGUAAGGUGAUAUGAACCGUUACAACCGGCGAUACCCGAAUGGGGAAACCCAGUGUGUUUCGACACACUAUCAUGUCAUGAAUACAUAGUGGCAUGAGGCGAACCGGGGGAACUGAAACAUCUAAGUACCCCGAGGAAAAGAAAUCAACCGAGAUUCCCCCAGUAGCGGCGAGCGAACGGGGAGGAGCCCAGAACCUGAAUCGGCUUGUGUGUUAGUGGAAGCGUCUGGAAAGUCGCGCAGCAAAGGGUGAUAGCCCCGUACACUAAAAUGCACAGGUCGUGAGUUCGAUGAGUAGGGCGGGACACGUGACAUCCUGUCUGAAUAUGGGGGGACCAUCCUCCAAGGCUAAAUACUCCUGACUGACCGAUAGUGAACCAGUACCGUGAGGGAAAGGCGAAAAGAACCCCGGCGAGGGGAGUGAAAUAGAACCUGAAACCGUGUACGUACAAGCAGUGGGAGCACCUUCGUGGUGUGACUGCGUACCUUUUGUAUAAUGGGUCAGCGACUUAUAUUUUGUAGCAAGGUUAACCGUAUAGGGGAGCCGUAGGGAAACCGAGUCUUAACUGGGCGAAUAGUUGCAAGGUAUAGACCCGAAACCCGGUGAUCUAGCCAUGGGCAGGUUGAAGGUUGGGUAACACUAACUGGAGGACCGAACCGACUAAUGUUGAAAAAUUAGCGGAUGACUUGUGGCUGGGGGUGAAAGGCCAAUCAAACCGGGAGAUAGCUGGUUCUCCCCGAAAGCUAUUUAGGUAGCGCCUCGUGAACUCAUCUUCGGGGGUAGAGCACUGUUUCGGCUAGGGGGCCAUCCCGGCUUACCAAACCGAUGCAAACUCCGAAUACCGAAGAAUGUUAUCACGGGAGACACACGGCGGGUGCUAACGUCCGUCGUGAAGAGGGAAACAACCCAGACCGCCAGCUAAGGUCCCAAAGUCAUGGUUAAGUGGGAAACGAUGUGGGAAGGCAUAGACAGCCAGGAUGUUGGCUUAGAAGCAGCCAUCAUUUAAAGAAAGCGUAAUAGCUCACUGGUCGAGUCGGCCUGCGCGGAAGAUGUAACGGGGCUAAACCAUGCACCGAAGCUGCGGCAGCGACG
Molecule: ribosomal RNA, 1179 nt
Filed under: Serratia marcescens
Lineage: Bacteria; Pseudomonadati; Pseudomonadota; Gammaproteobacteria; Enterobacterales; Yersiniaceae
Description: partial 23S ribosomal RNA
Rfam family: Bacterial large subunit ribosomal RNA
Source: RNAcentral